ACCAGAACUAGCCCCAUUACCCAUAAACUCAACUACACUAACACUAAAACAAAACAUUUACUAACUAAAGUAUAUGUGAUAGAAAUAUUAAUUAGGGAGCUAUAGAUGCAGUACCGUAAGGGAAAGCUGAAAGAUGCCUCAAAGUACAAAACAGCAGAGAUUAAACCUCCUACCUUUUGCAUAAUGGGCUAACUAGAAAACCAUUGACAAAGCGCCCUGAAGCCAAUAACCCCGAAACCAGACGAGCUACUCGUGAACAAUUACCAGAAUGAACUCAUCUAUGUGGCAAAAUAGUGAGAUGAUUUACGAGUAGAGGUGAAAUGCCAAUCGAGCCUGGAGAUAGCUGGUUGUCCAAAAAAGAAUUUCAGUUCGACCUAAAGCCAUACCUACAAAACUAAUAAUUGUAAUGUAAGCUUUAGAGCUACUCAAUAGAGGUACAGCUCUAUUGAACAAGAAUACAACCUUGUAAGGCGAGUAAGAAACCACCAUGAUCAUAGUUGGCCUAAAAGCAGCCACCAAUUAAGAAAGCGUUAAAGCUCAACCCUUGUAACCUCUAUAAUCCCAAAAAUCAUUAUCAACCUCCCUUAUCUUAAAUUGGACUAUUCUAUUUAAGCUUAGAAAAAAUAAUGUUAGCAUGAGUAACAAGAAAUAUUUCUCCGCGCACAAGCUUAUAUCAGAACGAAUGCCCACUGAUAGUUAACAAUCAAAUAACUUCAAACCACAUCCAAAUACAUUUAUUACACAUAUUGUUAACCCGACACAGGAGUGCGACCCGGAAAGAUUAAAAGAAGUAGAAGGAACUCGGCAAACAUGAACCCCGCCUGUUUACCAAAAACAUCACCUCUAGCAUUACUAGUAUUAGAGGCACUGCCUGCCCAGUGACACUAGUUAAACGGCCGCGGUACUCUGACCGUGCAAAGGUAGCAUAAUCAUUUGUUCUCUAAUUAAGGACUUGUAUGAACGGCUAGACGAGAGUUCAACUGUCUCCUACCUCUAAUCAGUGAAAUUGACCUCCCCGUGAAGAGGCGGGGAUGAUAAUAUAAGACGAGAAGACCCUAUGGAGCUUAAAUUAACUUACCUACCUACUACUAAUUUUACCCAACUAGGAACACACUUAAGUUUACUAGGUAAAAAAUUUUGGUUGGGGUGACCUCGGAGUAAAAAAGAACCUCCGAAUGAUACUAUACCAUGAUUCAACUGAUCUAAGCUUAAAUCUAAUUGACCCAGUCUACUGAUCAACGGAACAAGUUACCCUAGGGAUAACAGCGCAAUCCUAUUCUAGAGUCCAUAUCGACAAUAGGGUUUACGACCUCGAUGUUGGAUCAGGACAUCCCAAUGGUGCAGAAGCUAUUAAAGGUUCGUUUGUUCAACGAUUAAAGUCCUACGUGAUCUGAGUUCAGACCGGAGCAAUCCAGGUCGGUUUCUAUCUAUACACCUAUUUCUCCCGGUACGAAAGGACAAGAGAAAUAGGGCCAACUUUAAAUAAGCGCCCUAGUUUAUAUAAAUGAACUAAUCUAAAUUUACAUUGACUAAAUAAUAUUACCCAAGACCAGGGUUU
Molecule: ribosomal RNA, 1558 nt
Filed under: Galegeeska rufescens (East African long-eared elephant shrew)
Lineage: Eukaryota; Metazoa; Chordata; Mammalia; Macroscelidea; Macroscelididae
Description: 16S ribosomal RNA
Rfam family: Bacterial large subunit ribosomal RNA
Source: RNAcentral